AUUCAUGAGUGGUUCAUUUACUUAUUUCAGGUGUGUGAAGAUAGUCUUUAACUGGCAAAGGGACACAACAGAUGCUUUUCAAUUCCAUUAAACUCUAUGCAUUAAAUCCUGCUUCUCAACGUGGUGCCAAUGGCCUGGAACUGAAAGUAAACCAUUUUGUUGAAAUGAAACGUGUUUAGCUCUUGAAUCCCUUCCUUGUAAGAUUUCUCCUAUUCAGAGGAAACUGGGACACCAUUUAGAUAAGCAGCCAAACACUCACAAUGUUGUCUCAGCA
This 274-nucleotide long non-coding RNA is filed under the name Phasianus colchicus (ring-necked pheasant). RNAcentral's name for it is "lncRNA (ENSPCLG00000006666.1)". The record is from RNAcentral. Lineage: Eukaryota; Metazoa; Chordata; Aves; Galliformes; Phasianidae.